CAGCAGCAUCCUCCUCGGCAGGAAACACCAACUCCUUCAGAACGUGGAGGAAAGGGGGCGUGCUCAAGAACUGCCAUCCGAGUCUGGAUUGGGGCUUCACUGCUUUCUUUGCCCUGUGCUUUUUGGCACCUCUCAGUGUGAUUGCUGGGGAAGAGUGGAACAGGGGUGAAAAGCAUCGGCUUUGGAGUCAGGCAGACACGUGGACUUUCCUGCCCAUAUGAGGUUCUGGCUGGGGAACCAUUCAAAGGCCCAUUCAGAAGGACACCUCAGCCUUG
Mirounga angustirostris (Northern elephant seal) is the source of this 275-nucleotide long non-coding RNA. RefSeq lists it as uncharacterized. The transcript is spliced from 3 exons. The record is from RefSeq and is a predicted model, not a curated record. NCBI's taxonomy places the organism in Eukaryota, Metazoa, Chordata, Mammalia, Carnivora, Phocidae.